GAUUUCGCCAUCGUGAAUAGUAGGGUAAACCAUUUUUAAUGGAUUAUAGUGAAGAUAUUUGUCUGUGAGCUCUCGGUUACGACUGACGGGCGGUUUACGUGAUCUUGAACUGCCCUUCCGAGUGAAAAAUUGAAUUCCACGUCGGGAGAGCGCGAACCGUCCUGCGUAUUUCGCGUGAAUACAGAAAAGCGGGCGUGCGCACAACGUUGUAGCCGUCGCCACCAUGGGGUAACAAGGAGCAAUUAACUAAGGAGUAUUAACUCAACUGCGGUGUUGCGUUCCAAAUUUAAACUUUUGAUUGGGUGCCAAUGAGGUUCAAGAAAAUUUGGUUCAAGAAAGAAUCUAACUGAAAAGAAUAAUACGUAUAGAUUUAAUUGAUAACAGCAUUAAUGAUCACUUAGCAAUUGUAUUGAUUUUCGCGCAAUAUUGUGACUUUUGACGCAAGGCGAUUUAUGACAGUUUUUUUAACUUCCGGUUUCCUUAGGAAUAGGAAGUACUUCCGAAGCAGAUGUAGCCAACUUUUUGCGUAAAAAAGCCUUUUUCAGUCUUAACAUUAUAUUUGGUAUAGUACGUAUCUUCUACGUUUAUUGUGAUGUUUUAAAUUUUAAAGCAAAUUACAUACCAAACAGUUACUUUUUAGAUUUUUUAUUCAAUUAAAUCCUAUUUAAAUUAUUUAAACCGCUUUAACAGAGAAGUGCUAUAUGAGCACUCCUUAUUUAUCUACUACCUAUUCAAUUUUAAGUAGCUUUUCAAACCAUUUAAAAAUGGAUACGUAAAUGAAUUUCGAUAACUAAAAUACACAUGCAUACCUAAAAUAUAUAUAAAAAAACUAUAAUAAUAUACAUAAAGUAGGUACAUACUUCAAACUUUUGUAAAUAUAUUUAGACAAUGGUACGGUUUGUAUGCUCACCAUAAUUUCAAGUAUGAAAUCAGCUGUUAUUACAUUCUAUGGUUGCCGAUGUUCUAGGUUAGGAAUUUUAAUAGCAACUUUUAAUCUAAUAUUUUUUUUAUGAAAAUGAGUACAUAUAGAGGAAUGUUACUUUAAAAAUUUACUUGUCCUUUAUAUUUCAUUUCGUACUUAAUCUUAAAAAAACUUAUUGAAACUUUAAUUUAGCCAACCAAAAACAACAGCCGGUAAGGCAUUACCCAAAAUAGGUAUUUUUAUGCUACUAACGACAUAUUUGCCUUUUUACACUUUAUCGUCUUUAGGUAAGCUUUUUAUAAAAUGUAGGAAGAUUUAGUAUGUCCAACCUAACAACCCUUGUCUUGAUCUAUUGAUUCCAGAUCCAAUCUAGUUUUAAUGAAUUUCCAAAAAGAUCUUUCACGUUAUCAGCUUAAUGAAAUUUGAAUACUCACGAAAGCCAUGGUUAUGUUCACCGAUUAAUUGGAUUAAUUUAUUCUUGAUAUUUCACAGUAAUGUUAAAAGUAUUAAAUUUUUGGACAGACCACGCAUAUGAUCAACACAAGGACUUUUGGAGGUCAAAUCAAUGUCAUAGACAAGCAGAAAUUGAAUGCAGCCAUUUUUAUUCAUCGUUUUUUUAUCGAACAGUCUUUAAAAAAAGGUCCAAAGAAGCAACAGGAUAGCCGUCGGAGCUCCGUGAUUCGUCAGGAACGUCGACCUCCAUGACAACCUGGACUUAAGAGUCCAUCAGUAUCGCCAGUCGGCGUCGCUGCGCCACUUCGAUAAAGCGGUACGACACGAGAACCCUCUCAUCGUGGCCGCCGGUAACUACAUUCCCGAUCCUGCGGACAGAAUGUAAAGCAGUCGACGUCGCCCCAAAUACGUCAUUUCGGAUCCUCCCGAUCCACUAACGGUGCUUUUAGGUACCUCAAGCACCGGUCAUCGUUCUCGUCGAACCCGUCGCUUGCGACGAAGGGCUCGGCGAGUAAAUUAACCCUCAGACACAGCCUACUGAGCCUCUCGCCGGAUCUUCUCAGUGGGUCGCCUUUCCGAUCCGGUGGUAGAUUCUGCGAAGCACGGCUCUUGCUAGGGUACGUGUUAGCAACAUCAUCAGGUUUGAGCCCCGUGAGCUCGCCUACUAGUUAAGGCUACGCUGACAUAGCCUCUUAAGGCUAUCAGCUUAGGUAGGAAAAAAAACCAUCAAUUUCGUACUUGAAGGGCGACAAUCACUUCGUAACUGCAUACUCAUUUGCUUAUGGAAGCAACACUGAUUGAGAAACUAUGCAUUUAAAAUGCAACACAUAGUUGUCGAGUUUAAGCAUUGCUUAUUGGUAUAAUAAUUAAAAUUUUCGCCAAAUUAAUAAAAGCACCAAAGUAGGAAGCUUAUAAAUAACAAAAACAUUAUGUAUAAAUAACAUUAACAAAAAAGAAGGGGUUUUUUAAAUUUUUAUUUAUUAUCUAAUUCAAUUUACAAUGAAAAUGAACGAUAAUAGUGAUUAAUAUAACAUUUUUUGAAUAUUAAAAAAAAGUCAAAAUAUAGCUACUGACAAGAUUUUUUCACCUUUUACAAAGGUUUUGGAAUGGCAUCCGCAAAAUAAAACAAAAAAUUGGGUAAUUUUACAUUCGCAUUCGUUUAUAUGAAUUUUUACGAAACAAGGAACAUUUCAACUUUUGGAACAUAAUUUUACAACCAAAUUAAGCAUUUAUAUGAAAUAUGGAAAAUAAUGAAAGGAUAAACAAAACCAUUUCAGUUUUCCUUUAAAUAAAACAAUAAGACAAAAUCAUUACGUCGACCCGUUUCCUUCUCAGAAAACUUAGUUUAUGUCAAAAUAGUUUUAAUGAAAAUAAAACUAUACUUAAUUAUUCUUUUGUAGUUUUCCAUUAAAGUAACUUUAUCGUCUUCCACUCACGGAUGAGUAUUAUAAACAGGCUGCGGACCGUGAGCACUGAUGAUCAAACCAAACUCACAUCUUGAUUUAGCUUACUUUAUUCCAAUAUAAAUUUUGGUUUUUAUAGUGAAUUUUCAAAAACAAGAAAUUAAAUACAUUUAACAUUUAUAAAUUUUAUAUAAAAAGUAAAGCUUAUUUUAAUUACAUUCAGCUGACAAUUUACAUUUGUUUUGUAAUAAUAAUAAUGAUAUAAUAUUUUACAUUAAGCAAGAAUGACAACCAGUACCAUUUUCUCUGAAAUGUACGAGUUCUUAGGACAGUUUAUUACAAAAUUAAUAUAAUUAUAUAGGUAGGUAUUUGACAAAGUUUAUCAAAGGAUAAUCUUGAAAUUACAUAAAUUACAUCAAUACUUAUUUUUUGAGGUUAAAUUACAUGAUUAUUGUUUUAAAUAGGUAUUAUAUUUUUGUUAUAUUAUAUUAACACAAAUAAACUAAUGUGCGUUGUAUAAUAAAUGUUUAUAAAAAUUACGAAACCUUAGCAUAUCUUCAUAAAAAACGUGAGGUUGAAUUUAUUGAUGGAAAUUUGUGCUUGUCGACGACCAUAUUGAAAUGUCGCUUUUUCGCAAUAUUUACUAUAAACAUAUCAAACACCGUAAUGUAUCAAGAUUGUUGUGUUUCCUAAGAGAAUUUUCUCUUUUGAUCUCUGGUUUCUUUUAUGACAUUAAACAAGAUUGUUAUCUUGUCUAUGACUUAAGAAAAGAAUUUGUUUUUGAAAAACGAAACGAAAUGAGGUAGGUAUGUAACUGGUACAUACUAGAUGCUGGGGCACAUUAUGUUCUGCGGUUAAGUUUCCUGGAAUUUAUACAUAUUUUGAUGAAUGUAUCAUAAAACAUCAGAAUUAAUAGUAAGCCACAACCUAUUAAGGCUUGUCAUCCAUAAUUCAUGUUUAACAGUAGUCUAAAUAAUAUCAGCAGUUUAUAAAUUGUUUUAGUAGAACUGCUUACAAUUCUGAAAUACGGCACCAUUAAUCAAUUAGAAGUGCAAACAAAAGCUAGUUUCCAUUAGAUGUGUUUGCUUAUAAUUUGUUUACAAAAUUAACAAAUAAUUUAGGCCAUUCAUACAUUUUAAAAAUAGAAAUUAAGUAGAAAAGUACAGAGCACUAUUCAAAUUAAGAUAAUGGGAAUUAAUGCAAAUUGUACUUUAUCUAUUCAUUUGUCGUGACAUUUUUUCUUCCUUGGAUAUUGUUGCCACAAUCUAUUCUGUAUUUCAUCUUAAUAUCAAUAAGUGUAGUCAACUGAGGGAUUUAAUUUUGUAAAUUUUAUGUGAAUGCUACAAUUAAUAUAGAUAUGGUAGUGGCUCAAUGCAGUUGUUUAUAAAGAUCUAGCAUUCAUAGAAUUUUACCAGUUGAAUGAACUAAUAGUUUAAUCUGUUUAGAAGAAAAGUAUGGAACCAACAUAUUAUGAAGUUUAUAAAAAAAAGGGCAAUGUUAAGUUGUCACCGGUGUAGUGUGUAUUGCAUUAAUUUCCAUUUUGUUACAGGGGUUGUUUACAAACUAUUAAAAAUACAUAUUUUGUCAGUUUGUAACAAGUGUGUGAACAAAAUAAUAUUAAAUUGUCUAUUUAUCUAACUAAUAGCAUUAGCUCGCUACAAUCUUAAUAUCACUUCAGGCAAACAAUAAUAGUCUGUGCCUAUCUUGUCUGUUACAUGUCUUUUAAGCAGCUACAAUUACAAUGAUCAUGGCGCCCAAUGAAAAUAGGCAUUUUUAGAGAUAUAAAAAAAAAAAAUGUUUUUGAUAAAUACUGUGAAUGUUUAUGCGAGGUCUUUAGACACUUUCUGCCUUAUUCCAAAGGAUUCCAUAAUAGUAAUUUAGUUUUAUUUCUUCAGUGAAUUCGUUUCGCGAUUUGGAGCCUCUAGAACGCAUGAGGGAAAAAAUAAGAUUGCAUUUUUGAUUGAAACAAAUACUUACAAAAAUAUGGAGGUCUUACCAAAAAUGUAUUCAAAAUGUUCUGAAAUUAUUGUCGAAUCAAAUCCACGUUAGAGUGCUCCUUCCUCGCAACCACAGUGGACAUUCACCGUGAACACUGGGACACAGCAUGGCUGCAACUAGCCCACUUCACUUUUCACAUAAAACAGGAGAUAGGGAGUUGCGGCAGAUCUCAUUUUCGGUUCAGCCGACAAGAGAUCUUCGAAUUCCUCAUUCGAUAUGGGUUUAACAAGUUCAUCGUCACAUGCGAGCCAGCAUGGUUCUGUUCUAGGUCUUGGGACGCAACAUUCCUUAGCUGCACAGCCAGUGGGCGGGUGGCGAGGUCGGUUGAAGAGCGUCCUCAUGAAAGAAGACGAGGAGGUUGUGGUGGCAUCACCGCUACCUUCACGAGAGCACUUGAAGUCACAAGAACUAUCGCGCGCAUAAGCAACGUAAUGCCCGCCUGUUAGGGUCUGACCGAGGUGCAUUAUCACUGCCCAUAGGAUGUAUCUGUAAAGUGCACCAAAAGUAAUUAGGAACUAUUAUUUGGAUAACUCAAAGCAAGUACACUGUAUCAAAAAUAAUUAAAAAUUUAUAUGAACACUUGGAGUGUGAUCAGGCUCAUAGUUCACCUGGUGUUACCAGUUAGAAGUUAAGCAGUUAUCAGUCUAAACCAAUGAGCUAAACCAAUUAACGAAAAAGAAAAAAAGCUAGUAGAAAAAAGAAAUUAAUAACAAAAAAAAUGAAGAAUAGAAAUUGUAGAAUAGAAAUUGAGAAUAAAGAAUAUCUUUAACCCGAACAAAGUUAGUUACAUAUUAUUAUUUAAAUACAACAUCAAGUGUAAAGAUCACUCAUAGCUGGACCCUUUAUUUCUCUUAAUCAGAUUGCUUCUGGAUCUUUAAGCUUACACUAGCUAUUACACAGCAUAUUACCUGUGCUGUGGUGCACGCUCGGGCGGUCUGGAAGCGCAAGGCUCACAGAAACAAGGCAUAAGUAGAGGCGUCGGUGCAUGUCUUGUUAUCUUUUCCAUUCCCCCGCUGAAUCGUUUCAACUGUAGUACCAGCAACCGCGGCAGUCUCGAAUAAGUGACGCUGCGACGAGCUUCGUUGUACCGUAGACAACGUUCGCACCAAUACUGGAAGUUGUUUUACUAAUGAGAUAUUUUUUUUCUCUCCGAGCAUGUUUAAUUUGGGGAGUAGGGACAGUAAUUUUUUGAAAGCAAAUAAGAGCUAGAUCUCAUGUGUUGUACAAUGGGGUCAUAUAGCUACAUAACAUUAAAUGAACUUUAUCUGCCCUUUGACUAACUGUUCAUUGUCUGUAGUUAUCCGUAUAGAAUCGGAGUUUUAUUAGUGACUUGCUGACCCGGCAGACUUCGUAAUACAUCAAAGGAAGAACAAUUUUGUUGUUUUUAUUUAAUUCCGAGUAUUUACGAACAGCAAUUCAUUUUUAUACCUAGUCUUAUCAUAAAUACUGAGACAAAGGAAAAAGAAAAUUCUAUUGCAAAUAACAUUUAUUACUUUUACAGUGUGUUAGUUUAAUACAUAAAUAUAAAACAAUUUAAAGUACUGCGUAGACCGAGCUUUAUGACCUGGCGCCGAGUCUUGCUGGAAGGACCAUUCUUGAUUAUUGAACAUGGUGUUGUUAAGGGGCUUCACUAACUUCUCAAGAAUGUUAUCUUGAUACACUUGUGCCGAUGUUUUGAUACCUUUUUCACAAAAGUAUGGCUCGGUCAUUCCUUCAUAGUCACCAAACCAUCACUGAAGUCGGAUAGUGUCCACGUUGCACUCUGUCGACUAAUUGGGGAGCUUCCUUAGAGCUUUGAGCAUAAAUGUUGCUCAAUUGUAAAAAUUUUCUCAUCCGUAAACAAAAUUUUUCUAUGACCUCCUUUUGCAUACCACUUCAGUAGUUGUUUCGAUUUUACCACCCUAUUCUCUUUUAAAUUAUCAGUUAAGAAAUGACCAGUACGUCUCUUAUAGGCUGCAAGUCCUAAGUCAUCUUUUAAAAUACGCGACAUGGUUCUAGGUGCUAUCUUCAUCUCCCGAGAUAAAAUCUUUUGCUUUCGGACAAGAUUUCUUCGAAUUCUUUCCCUUACUGCUUUGACCACCUUUUUCGUACGAACACUACGUGGACGGACAGAUCUUUUUCUGUCACAAACAGAGGAGGUCUCAUUGCACCUAUUAAUAGUCCGGUACACAAACAUUUUACUAAUACCAAGCGUAUGGAGAGUUUUAAAAAUUGCAUUUGGCUCUAUACCUACUUUGUGUAAUGCAAUCACAGCGAUUCGGUUCUCUUUAUCACCGCUCCAUUUUAAUAUCGAAAAAUAUUGUACAAUGUAUUGGCGCCAAAAUGAGAAAACAACGAGCAAUCAUAGAAGAAUGACAGAUUCCAAAUUCAAAUGUAAUAUUUUGUUUAUUUUUAAUUGUAACAGUAUUUAUGGCCAGUCUAAGUAUAUAUAGAUGUGAGCACCGGGUCCGGUUAUACAGUACUGAUGAGGACCACCAGUGUUAAUUCUCCACUUCUUUCUCUUUAUAAAUACUCAUCAAAAUCAAUAAAAUAAUAAAUCAGGAUAAACUGCAGGGCAUACAUAUGCGAUACUGUCCAUACCUUGUUCUGAUCACGCAGGUAUUCUGUAGACAGGCAGGCCGCCCGGAACGGUUCCGCUCCUGGUUCUUCUUCGCCAACCGGAACGCACAACUCACAAACAGCCUGCGCCUUCUGAGUGACCGCUUCACAUUCUAAGCACAUGGUCCGCACUACCAUCGUACCUGGAAGACAGAUUAUAUUAGAACUAGAGGUCCUGCAGUAGUCGAAAUUCGACUAUAAUUAAUUGGAAUUAACUAUUAUCUGACUGGCCUAAUGACAACAAGUCCUUGCUACUCCAUGAUCUAGUCCCAGAUGAUACUAAGCCCGCAGCACUCCGACCCAAUGAAGAACUUUUGAGCCUGAUGCUGCCCAACUUUUGCUCAACACUGGCCAGAUCUGACACUAAAUGGUGAAGGUUGUGCAGGAACCGAGGUGCAUACCUGUAAUCAUUCAUCACUAAUCAAGAACUUUAGCUUUAAAACCUAUACACAUUUAUAAUACUGGUGUAUUACAAAUUACUGGCGGUAGGACCUCUUGUGAGUUAUGUUUAUUUGACGAUUAUAUACUUCUUAUACUGCAUUAAAAACAAAUAAUUUCCAAA
Molecule: long non-coding RNA, 7936 nt
Organism: Bombyx mori (domestic silkworm)
Lineage: Eukaryota; Metazoa; Arthropoda; Insecta; Lepidoptera; Bombycidae
Exons: 4
Source: RefSeq, a predicted model, not a curated record